CUACGGGGUGCACCAGUGAGGAAUUUUGCGCAAUGGGCGAAAGCCUGACGCAGCAACGCCGCGUGAGUGAUGAAGGCCUUCGGGUCGUAAAGCUCUGUCAAGUGGGAAGAACCUAUGUAAUGUUAAUAUCAUUAUAUACUGACGGUACCACUGAAGGAAGCACCGGCUAGCUCCGUGCCAGCAGCCGCGGUAAUACGGGGGGUGCAAGCGUUAUUCGGAAUCAUUGGGCGUAAAGGGCACGUAGGCGGCCUGGUAAGUCAGAUGUGAAAGCCCGGGGCUUAACCCCGGAAGUGCAUUUGAUACUGUCAGGCUUGAGUAUGGGAGAGGGAAGUGGAAUUCCUGGUGUAGAGGUGAAAUUCGUAGAUAUCAGGAGGAACACCGGUGGCGAAGGCGACUUCCUGGACCAAUACUGACGCUGAGGUGCGAAGGCGUGGGUAGCAAACAGGAUUAGAUACCCGCGUAGUC
This 465-nucleotide ribosomal RNA is filed under the name uncultured bacterium. RNAcentral's name for it is "partial 16S ribosomal RNA". It matches the Rfam family "Bacterial small subunit ribosomal RNA", at positions 339 to 795 of the family's 1533-position model. The record is from RNAcentral.